GAUGAACGCUGGCGGCGUGCUUAACACAUGCAAGUCGAACGAGAAAUGGAGACGGAAACCUUCGGGCGGAAGCCUUCAUUUCGAGUGGCGGACGGGUGAGUAACGCGUGGGUAACCUGCCUCAUACAGGGGGAUAACAGUUGGAAACGACUGUUAAUACCGCAUAAGACCACAGCACCGCAUGGUGCGGGGGUAAAAACUCCGGUGGUAUGAGAUGGACCCGCGUUCGAUUAGCCAGUUGGCGGGGUAACGGCCCACCAAAGCGACGAUCGAUAGCCGCUCUGAGAGGAUGACCGGCCACAUUGGGACUGAGACACGGCCCAAACUCCUACGGGAGGCAGCAGUGGGGAAUAUUGCACAAUGGGGGAAACCCUGAUGCAGCGACGCCGCGUGAGUGAAGAAGUAUUUCGGUAUGUAAAGCUCUAUCAGCAGGGAAGAAAAUGACGGUACCUGAGUAAGAAGCCCCGGCUAACUACGUGCCAGCAGCCGCGGUAAUACGUAGGGGGCAAGCGUUAUCCGGAUUUACUGGGUGUAAAGGGAGCGCAGACGGCUCUGCAAGUCUGAAGUGAAAGCCCGCGGCUUAACCGCGGGACUGCUUUGGAAACUGCAAGGCUUGAGUAUCGGAGGGGCAGGCGGAAUUCCUAGUGUAGCGGUGAAAUGCGUAGAUAUUAGGAAGAACACCGGUGGCGAAGGCGGCCUGCUGGACGAAAACUGACGUUGAGGCUCGAAGGCGUGGGGAGCAAACAGG
RNAcentral lists this ribosomal RNA (747 nucleotides) under uncultured Moryella sp. RNAcentral's name for it is "bacterial SSU rRNA". It matches the Rfam family "Bacterial small subunit ribosomal RNA", at positions 28 to 776 of the family's 1533-position model. Lineage: Bacteria; Bacillati; Bacillota; Clostridia; Lachnospirales; Lachnospiraceae. The record is from RNAcentral.